AUCGGAGUGGUUGAUGAAAUAGGGUACACGCAGGUCCAGGUGGGUAGCAAAAAGCAACAGGUCAACUUCGUGAUCCGCGACUUGAGCAACAACACUAUAACAGUUACGUUAUGGGAGGCGUACGCGGUGCAGUUUAUGAACUACGUUGAACAGCAGGUCGAUACUGCAAUUCUUGUUGUGAUUAUGAUUCAAUAUGCCAAAGUCAAAGAAGCUUUUGGCAAAUAUCCUUUGUCUGUUACCAAUACUUACAAUGUCACCAAACUGGCUAUUAAUGAAGACAUGGAAACAAUCAAACAAUUUGCUAAAAUGUCCUGACUUGAUUUAUUACAAUUUCCUGCACUUUGUAUCAUCCUUCUUAAUUGACUCUGACAAUGUAUUUUCAUCGUCAGGCUUACACAGGAUACUAUAGUGGCUGUGUCGGGACUUCGCAGCCAGCAGUCUCAGGGAAGGUCGCAAAACUCCUACAGUUCUCGCCAAUCACCUACCCAAAAAUUGUUGUCUAAUGUUGUUCUUCUUCCUCUUGACCAAAUCGUUAAACUCAAAGACGUACUAAUGUUUCAAUUUUUUUCAUUUAUUGUCUAACUGUUAUUACAUUUGAAUUUCUGUUUACCCCCCUUUUGUAAACACAGACUACUUUUUGUGCUACGGUUGCCACAAUUACAA
This is a long non-coding RNA of Vicia villosa (hairy vetch), 663 nucleotides long. RefSeq lists it as uncharacterized. The transcript is spliced from 3 exons. The record is from RefSeq and is a predicted model, not a curated record. NCBI's taxonomy places the organism in Eukaryota, Viridiplantae, Streptophyta, Magnoliopsida, Fabales, Fabaceae.